This is a long non-coding RNA of Papaver somniferum (opium poppy), 1520 nucleotides long. RefSeq lists it as uncharacterized. The transcript has 2 exons. Lineage: Eukaryota; Viridiplantae; Streptophyta; Magnoliopsida; Ranunculales; Papaveraceae. The record is from RefSeq and is a predicted model, not a curated record.
UUCUCGUUUCUAUUUCUUCUUCUGCUCCUCCAUGUUCUUCCUCUUUCCUUUCUAAUAAUCUUAAUUCAAGGAUUGAGUUUGAUCUUAGUCGAGUGGAUCUUAGUCAGCGUAGUAUGUAGAUGAUACGAGAGUAAAGAUGGAAGUAUUGGAAGUUGAUUUAGCGCUGGAAGAUGAAGUAAAGAUGAAUUAAAUUAGAGGUAUAAAGUUAAUUUAGGUUCUGAAGUUCAAGAGAUGAAAUUAGAGCUACGGCUGGAUGAAGAAUCAUGGGUAUUGGUUCAAUUGAGGAUCUGAAGUUGUUUUAGAGAAGAGUCAUGGAAUUAUGGUUUCAUAGGAGUUGCAGAAUAGAGUGAGAAGAUGAAAUGGAUGGGUAAUUGAGUUUCUGAUAGUCAAAGAAUGAAGGGGUUAUCGUUUAAUUGAUGAUGUGAAUCCGUGUUGUUGAUGAAUCAGGAAGUUAGGGUUUGGUUCUGUUUUAAUGAAGGUUUGGGAAUUGAAUUAGAUUUUGAUUGAAAACUAGUGUUGCUGAUGAAGGCCAGGGAUCGAUUAAUCAGUAAGAAUAUGUUGAAGCUAUUGUUGGUGUUGAUUCAAGACUCGGAAGGAAAGGGGGAUGAGAUGUAUAUAUGUGAUGGUUCUCUACGAUGAAUUGGUGGUGUUAUGGAGUGUUUGUGGUUUUGUGUUGGUGAAUGGUUUGAGUGUUUGAGUGGCUCGAGUCUGAGAUAUUUAUUUGGUAGUGUGAUUAUGAAUGAUAUAAGAAAUGUAGGUGAAGGUUGUUCUGAUUCACAGGGAGUCGUGUUGAAUUAGAUGAAAUGGGUAUUGGGAUUUGGAUGUCGUGGAGUUAUUUGACAGUGCAGUUGAGAAUGGAAUGUGUUUAGCAUUGGAGAUGAAUUGUGGUUGCAGAUGGAGUCGAGUUCCAUAGUGGUGUUUUGUAGCUACUGAUGUUGAUUUCAUGGAAUUAUAGUGAACUGAAUAAGGAAUUGUGUUACAGAGAACUGUUGGUGUUGCAAUGAAGAACACGAGAUGAUGUUUGGGUUAAAGGUAAAUGAUGGAAGUGGUGAGGUAAUUAGGAAUGGUGGUUGUAUAUGGUUGUAUUAGAGUUAGUGGUGCAAGUAGUGGUCAUGCGUGCUGGGAAGAACUGGGAAUUGUUAUGUUGCAGUGGCAGGAGAAGGAUUGCAUUUAUGUGCAAUUGUAGGGGGAUUGUUUGUAAUGGAGAUAAUAUUGUUGGUGGUGAUUCAUGUGGAGUGUUGAAGUAUUGAACUGAAGCUAAAAUUGUUACAGGAUUGAAGGUGGUAGUGAAGUUGAAUGCCAGAAGUUGGUUUGUAGUUGGACUGAACUUGCAGUUAUAGGGGUAUAGUCGUGUGUUUGAGAGUUGAAAGUAAUCUGAAUUGAUAGUGAUUGUAGAAUUGCAAUUAGUGUUGCUGUGAAAAGUUUAAAUCUGCAGUUGCAGGUAAUUAGAGUUUAUAAUUGUAAUAAAAAUUUGAAUUAUAAUUUGAAUGAAUUAAUUGGUGUAAUGUAUAGAUUGAAGU